GACAUGCAAUUAUAUUCAUUCAACAAGACAAUACAAAUUUCCAACAAUCUGGUCUAAUUUCAAAAAGCAAAACUAAUAACAAAACAUCACAAGCAUAUUUACAAGGUGCUAUAAGCAUAAUCAUUUAAUAAAAAUCAAGUAACAUGACAUAAUUGAAACUGCACUACUACAUGAUUUUAAUCUCCAACACUACACCACUACUUCCAGGAAGCUUUUAAGACCUAGGUAAUUCCUGCUAAAAAGCCUCAAUCGAUAGUAACACGAACUAACUGCCAAACCUGCAAAGAAUCCAAAACACAAAGUAUGAAUAGAUCAUUUCAUAUUCAUCAAGUACAACAAAAAAUCAAGUUUUGGUUACAUGAGUAGACAAGGAGCAAUCCGUUAGCACAUUUCUCAGUUACAUGCGCAACUCUAACAUAUACAUACAAUUUGAAAUCUAUCGCUCAUACACGUAUACAUCAUGCUCAUGAAUGUAUCUUGUUCUUAAACUUCUAGUGUUAAAAUAGCAUGGCAGAUAUUUCAAACUAAAAUAGUAGCUAUAUUGUCUUGGCAUUUUACUUUUAUAUAGUUUUAUAUAUUGUUGCUAACAAACAAGUUAGGAGAUGACAAAAGAGUUUGGGAUAUGUAUUUACCUCCUGUCACUACAUAGCAUGAGUACUUUGCCGAUUCCUCGUAUCUUAACUUCUCAACAACUCGAGAAGUUUCUCUUUACCAUAGCUCAAAAGGAAAUAUAUAAUGUUAAUGACGUGGAAUGCAUUCGACUACAAUACUUUUAUGGAAUUGCAGGAAAUAAGUGGAUUAAUAACCUGCUAGUUGAUGCUAUGCUGUUCCACUUCCACAGCUUCUUAAAUGCCUAAAAGAAUCAGCAACUCAAAUAAUUCAGUGGAUAAUCAUUGCACAGCAUAGGUUACAAUUAUACAUACAGAAUAUUGAUCCAUAUCAAGAUAAGAAAGAACACAACUAAGACAACUCGCGUGAGAAGUGUCAGUCAUUAAGCAUACACUAUGGCAUAGGAACAAAACAACGAGAUGGCUAAAUAAUAACCAGCAGGUGCACAUUGUUGUAGAACACACCUAGAAUAAAAUUGUAUUAUUUCCCCAUUAUAUUGCCGUUGUUCUUGUAAGUAAAUUUCUCUCAAGGUCGUUAUUACAAUCAGGUUGUUAACAUCACAAUAAACUUCAAAUCUGAGUUUGUGCCGACAAUAUAAAACUACAAUGGCAUGCCACUACUAUAAGAAACCGUGCAUCCCUGCAAAUGACAAACAAAGAUAGUGAGAUGCCAGAUGCAGCUUGAAGUGUACUGUAACCUGAAGAGAAUCAACCCUUACGAGCAUGUUUAUUGAAGGAAAAACAGAUAUGGAGAAGAUAAGAACUUACUCUAUAGCUCCCGAGAAAUUCAGAGGUCCAUCUAAGAUCUGCAUGUUGCAAAGAAACUCUUUUAACAACAUCAAGGAGACGGUGUUCCUCAAGUGUGUCCUGUCUAUCAAGAACUUGCUCCUGUUGUACAUUUGCAUAGACAAAGAAAAUUAAAUAAGUAAAUCUAUAUCCUAUUAGAAGAAAAAGAGAGAACAAAAAAUAGGACGACAGGUCGUGAUCCCAUCCGUCCAGCACUCGCUGCCCUACAUAUAAUUUUCAGGUUAUACUGCUUAUCCUAGGGCGGAAGAUACUGCAAUGUAAUACUCCUUCCAUCCCAAAUUUUCAGGUUAUAUUUAGCUAAUAGAGUAGACAUAGUGGACAAUGAUUACAGGCACAUGAAUCAUUGAAGAGACAAUUAUUUUGGUGAUCACGGACACUUCAUCAGACCUAUUAUUCAGACAACCCAUUUGGUGUAGCAAGUUGUUUUAGUAUUAUAAAGCUCCUCUAUGUUUUGGUAUUAUAAAGCUCCUGUGUGUUUUAGUAUUAUAAAGCUCCUCUGUGUUUUUCAUAUAUGUCUAUACUUUUGUUUGUAGCAGUGCCACCAAUUAUACAGAUUACUCUAUAUAUAAGAAGCCACUCAUAUUAAGGAUGAACCGAUGGUUGCAGAAUUUUUUAAUGAAUGGUGGUUGCUGAAUUCUUCAGUGAUUACAGUAAGAUAAAAAUCAUAUAAACCAGCUUUACUUCUUUCAUUAUUUUAAUAACACGGAUUAGCAUUAUUUUGUUCCCAUAAAUUAUCAGCAAAAGCGCAAAUAAGGAUGUGUUCGCUAAUGUCCACCUUAAGUGUUCUAAGUUUCAGCUGAAUUUCUCAAAGUCAAAGAAUAUGAAACACAGAGAAAUCUCAUAUGAUUGUCUAAGAUAGCUUACUUGGCUAUUUCUCCUCUGAUUUAGCCUCUAAAUUAGAUGUUUUCAAAGAUAUCUCUCAAUUAACUUUGUUUGACUAGAUGCACUACAACAAAAUAUUACCUUCAGUGAAAUAUUACCUUAACCAGAUUGCCUCGAGGAGACACGCACCACGGAUGGGGAAGACCUACCGGAGGCGUCAGAGUGGAAGAAGAAUCACCGUGGCAUUGCUCUGUUUUGUAGCUGUGCAUGUCAAGAAGUGCACACAUCAGGAAACCAAUCAUAUACAUGACACGCUGAAAGAAUAUAUGCCAUAGCAACAAUGGAAUUAAACACAAACCACCAACAGUAGUACUAGUACUUUUGUCUAGUUUGGAUCAUCACUUAAAAAUACAAGAACAAUCAUCAAGGGAACAAAAUAAUGAUGGCGUGCAUAAGCAGAGGAAAUAGGAAGUUAAUCACAUUCAACAACUAGUACAAAUCAGGACCUGAAUCAACAUAGUAAACUAACAGCCUAAACAGGUUGUCAUCGUGAAGAUAAUCCAAAAUAAUUAAACAGGUUGUCAUGUCUAAAUCAACAGUCCAAAACUGAAUGUUUUUUCCAAAUAGAUCAAGGUUUUCUUCUUGUUCUUCUAUUUAACAAGCAACCAUCAGUGAAGCAAGCAAGCAGUAGGCUAUGUUCAUUCUAUCUGUGGAGCAUGAAGCAAGCAGCAGGCUGCAUAAUAAUAAAAAAUAGAACAAAAGCUAGCCAUUAAGAUCCUACGGACCAGCAGCGUAAAUCUCUCCGGUUGAACACUUGCAGGAGAGGGCUGGGUUCCGGCGGAAGAUGACGCAAACCAGAGAGGUUAUUUUACACUUGCAGGAGAGGGCUGGGUUCCGACAGCGGUUGACGGACAAUUGGACCCAGCGACAAGGAUCGUACAUGCACUCUAGAUCCAUGGACGUGUAACCACCAUUUGUAACUCACCUUCACUCAACGUCGGAUGGAGAUGGUUCUGUUUCCCCCGCCGCCGACCUCGAGGACUUCCAAAUCCGGUCCCUCCCGUAGCCGCCGACCUCGGGGACUUCCGAAUCCUGCACUCUAUCCUGCAGCCAGCGACCUCGGUGAGUUCCUAAUCCCGCACUCAGUCCCGCCGCCGCCACUGUCACCUCAUCUCAGUGGUAGGGCUAGGCCACCGUAACUCAAGGGGGCGGUCUAAAUAGGCUGGGCACGACCAGGGGAAGACGGGGAGGGCUCUAGUGCGGGGUGGAUUGGGGCUGGCACCACCGGCGACGACAUGGAGAGGGGCAGGGAGGAUAGGUGGAGCGGCGGCGGCUGGUAGUUGGGGAUGGGAG
RNAcentral lists this long non-coding RNA (3590 nucleotides) under Hordeum vulgare. RNAcentral's name for it is "long non-coding RNA (HVUL_LNC008670)". Lineage: Eukaryota; Viridiplantae; Streptophyta; Magnoliopsida; Poales; Poaceae. The record is from RNAcentral.